GAUGAACGCUGGCGGCGUGCCUAAUACAUGCAAGUCGAACGAACAGACGCGGUGCUUGCUACUCUGACGUUAGCGGCGGACGUGUGAGUAACAUGAGCAUCACCUAACUUUAAGACUGGGAUAACUUCGUGAAGCCAGUACUGAUAACGAAUACUAUCUUCAUGCUCAUGGUUCAAUAGUGUCAGCCGGUUUUGCUGUCACUUCUAGAUGGCUCCGCGCCGCAUUAGCUAGUUGGUACGGUAACGGCUUACGAUAGCGACGAUGCGUAGCCGACCUGAGAGCGUGAUGGGCCACACUGGAACUGAGACACGGUACAGACACCGACGGGAGGCAGCAGUAGGGAAGGUUCCGAGAUGGGCGAAAGCCUGACGGAGCAACGCCGCGUGAGUGAUGAAGGUCUUCGGACCGGAUAACUCUGUUAUGAGGGAAGAACAAAUGUGUAAGUAACUAUGCACGUCGUGACGGUACCUAAUCAGAAAGCCACGGCUAACUACGUG
RNAcentral lists this ribosomal RNA (497 nucleotides) under uncultured bacterium. RNAcentral's name for it is "partial 16S ribosomal RNA". It matches the Rfam family "Bacterial small subunit ribosomal RNA", at positions 28 to 507 of the family's 1533-position model. The record is from RNAcentral.